UACAGAGGGGGCAAGCGUUGUUCGGAAUUACUGGGCGUAAAGGGCGCGUAGGCGGCCUGCUAAGUCGAACGUGAAAUCCCCGGGCUCAACCCGGGAACUGCGUCCGAUACUGGUAGGCUUGAAUUCGGGAGAGGGAUGCGGAAUUCCAGGUGUAGCGGUGAAAUGCGUAGAUAUCUGGAGGAACACCGGUGGCGAAGGCGGCAUCCUGGACCGACAUUGACGCUGAGGCGCGAAAGCCAGGGGAGCAAACAGG
Molecule: ribosomal RNA, 253 nt
Filed under: uncultured bacterium
Lineage: Bacteria
Description: partial 16S ribosomal RNA
Rfam family: Bacterial small subunit ribosomal RNA
Source: RNAcentral